GUCACGCCGUAACGUUGGCGCUAGGUGUGGGGCCAUUCCACGGUCUCUGUGCCGUAGCUAACGCAUUAAGCGCCCCGCCUGGGGAGUACGGCCGCAAGGCUAAAACUCAAAGGAAUUGACGGGGGCCCGCACAAGCGGCGGAGCAUGUGGAUUAAUUCGAUGCAACGCUAAGAACCUUACCUGGGUUUGACAUGCGCCAGACGCGUUUCAGAGAUGGGCGUUCCCUUGUGGUUGGUGUGCAGGUGGUGCAUGGCUGUCGU
Molecule: ribosomal RNA, 260 nt
Filed under: uncultured bacterium
Lineage: Bacteria
Description: partial 16S ribosomal RNA
Rfam family: Bacterial small subunit ribosomal RNA
Source: RNAcentral